This is a long non-coding RNA of Panicum virgatum (switchgrass), 1411 nucleotides long. RefSeq lists it as uncharacterized. The transcript is spliced from 2 exons. NCBI's taxonomy places the organism in Eukaryota, Viridiplantae, Streptophyta, Magnoliopsida, Poales, Poaceae. The record is from RefSeq and is a predicted model, not a curated record.
GAAUGGGUUCUCCUAAGCACAUUCUCUUUCCAUCUGCAUGUGCUUUUUACUAUGUUGAGUUUUAAAUGUUGAACAUAUGUAGGGUUAGCGACUUAGCGUUUAUUUAGAGUGCAGAUUAGUAUACAUGGAAAUAGCAAUAAUUGAAUUGGAAUCAUGUAUUGAUGACAAAAAAAUGAAAGCUAUCAUGUCACCGGGUUCAAAUUCCUUCUCUUGCUAUCCACUGGCAGAAUGUUGCAAUUAUCAUAAACACCGCCCAGUGCCCAUGAAUCAAACCUUUCUUACUGUAAUUGUUGCCUUUUAUUAUAGUCACGUGUCCUAAAACUUUAGUUUUCCCAUUUUGUUUUAGAACAUAGCUGCAGGUAAUUAUUCCGGUAAAUCCUUAUGAUGCAGAUUGAUACCAACUCUCAAUCUUUCUUGAUCUUUACAGGUGGUCUAGACACUGAGGAAUUGGACAUUAUGACAUCGGCGUCAGGGCACCACUUCCUUUGUCUGGGUGUGCAUCUUUUCCUGUGUUGUGGCCCAUGGCGUUGCUAAGUUUUGCAAUGCUCAUGCCUGUUUUUUGCAGUGUGGGGUUGCUCCUAGGAGAACCCCAUCACCAGCUCACUCUUCUCCACGAAUCAUUAGACGGCAUCAGUGUGGAGUCAUCACGUGCCUAGGGUUACCGCUCCCCGCGUUCCUGACCCUGCAGCAUGUCCGGGAUGGCAUCUGGUGCCAGGGCGACGCUGCCAUCUCGCCGUCGGUGGCGCUACCGGACAUGCCAGCCGCUAACCACCUCAUGGUUUUGCAGUACGGCAGAAGACCGUAGUAGACAGACAACAGACCACCAACCAACCAUCACCCCCACCUGCGAUGACAGAAAUGUAGAUCCUGGCAUUCUGCCCCUCCUAACCCUUUUGUCGGCGUGGCUGUUGCCGGGCCGGCAAUAGGCGGCAUGACGAACAACGAUGAGCUCCCGACCGCCUGCGCUGGCUUCCCUGUGCGCCGCCGAUGAUCUGCUGAAGAACCACUGGAGAGGUGCAAAGUUUUUUUUCCUGUCGUUGACCGUCGGCGUGGCAGCUCAUCUGCACACUGGAGGCCUUUUCUCUCCACACAAGUGCUGGAGAGAAUGUAACAGCUUGGAAGUUGCGCCUGACAGAGAGUCUGACGAGGCUGUGACGGCAAGAAGGGAAUUCAGCCCACUGAAGAGUAGUGACUUCCAAGCCAUUUCGGCCUUGUUCACUUCACCUGAUCUACUAAUCUCCAGAGUUCAGCCGUUACAUGUUGUUAAUUGUUAGCCCCUGUUGCUCGCUUCUGUUUUUUGUUGUGGAAGCAGCACAUCUUGAAAUGCUCCCGUUGCUAAAGGACCCGUCUUUCAGAGGGAAAACUUGACAUCUCACUGAGAAUUCAUUGAUUCAUGAUUUGACUCCCUAGA